RNAcentral lists this ribosomal RNA (497 nucleotides) under uncultured bacterium. Its description in RNAcentral is "partial 16S ribosomal RNA". It matches the Rfam family "Bacterial small subunit ribosomal RNA", at positions 28 to 507 of the family's 1533-position model. The record is from RNAcentral.
GAUGAACGCUGGCGGCGUGCCUAAUACAUGCAAGUCGAGCGAACGGACGAGAAGCUUGCUUCUCUGAUGUUAGCGGCGGACGGGUGAGUAACACGUGGAUAACCUACCUAUAAGACUGGGAUAACUUCGGGAAACCGUAGCUAAUACCGGAUAAUAUUUUGAACCGCAUGGUUCAAAAGUGAAAGACGGUCUUGCUGUCACUUAUAGGUGGAUCCGCGCUGCAUUAGCUAGUUGGUAAGGUAACGGCUUACCAAGGCAACGAUGCAUAGCCGACCUGAGAGGGUGAUCGGCCACACUGGAACUGAGACACGGUCCAGACUCCUACGGGAGGCAGCAGUAGGGAAUCUUCCGCAAAGGGCGAAAGCCUGACGGAGCAACGCCGCGUGAGUGAUGAAGGUCUUCGGAUCGUAAAACUCUGUUAUUAGGGAAGAACAUAUGUGUAAGUAACUGUGCACAUCUUGACGGUACCUAAUCAGAAAGCCACGGCCAACUACGUG